Long non-coding RNA from Humulus lupulus (European hop), 466 nucleotides. RefSeq lists it as uncharacterized. The transcript is spliced from 3 exons. The record is from RefSeq and is a predicted model, not a curated record. NCBI's taxonomy places the organism in Eukaryota, Viridiplantae, Streptophyta, Magnoliopsida, Rosales, Cannabaceae.
CAAUACUAAUUAACUAAAAGCUUCUGCAGCAAUACCUGCUAGGUUGUGUGUUUUGCUUUAAUGGGCAUUGGCAGCGCAUUUCAUGCUCAAGAAACUGCUGUGAGUGGGCAAUUGGAGAGUCGAGUGUGGGUUGUUGAGAUCAUCUGCACUUUGGUUAGGAAAUUAUCUCCUAAUCCUAAUAGUGCUGCUAUAAUGGCCAUGGGUGUUAACAUCUUGGCAAAGAGAUUGAAAUGAUUGGGGUUCUUGAUUGAGUUUCUAUCCCAUGCUGCCAUUAUUGGGUUCAUGGGAGAAGCUGCCAUUACAAUUGCCCUUCAGCAGCUCAAAGGAUUGCUUGGCAUAAAAAAGAAUUUCACAAAGAAGACUGAUAUUGUCUCUGUUUUGUGCUCAGUGUUUAAUUCAACCCACCAUGUUGUAAUAUGAUUUCUUAAACCUAGACUAGUAGACUAAAUAUUGUAAUUACAUUUGA